RNAcentral lists this ribosomal RNA (575 nucleotides) under Staphylococcus hominis. RNAcentral's name for it is "bacterial SSU rRNA". It matches the Rfam family "Bacterial small subunit ribosomal RNA", at positions 38 to 595 of the family's 1533-position model. The record is from RNAcentral. Lineage: Bacteria; Bacillati; Bacillota; Bacilli; Caryophanales; Staphylococcaceae.
GGGGGGAUGAGACUGCUAUACUGCAGUCGAGCGAAAGACGAGGAGCUUGCUCCUUUGACGUUAGCGGCGGACGGGUGAGUAACACGUGGGUAACCUACCUAUAAGACUGGGAUAACUUCGGGAAACCGGAGCUAAUACCGGAUAAUAUUUCGAACCGCAUGGUUCGAUAGUGAAAGAUGGCUCUGCUAUCACUUAUAGAUGGACCUGCGCCGUAUUAGCUAGUUGGUAAGGUAACGGCUUACCAAGGCAACGAUACGUAGCCGACCUGAGAGGGUGAUCGGCCACACUGGAACUGAGACACGGUCCAGACUCCUACGGGAGGCAGCAGUAGGGAAUCUUCCGCAAUGGGCGAAAGCCUGACGGAGCAACGCCGCGUGAGUGAUGAAGGUCUUCGGAUCGUAAAACUCUGUUAUUAGGGAAGAACAAACGUGUAAGUAACUGUGCACGUCUUGACGGUACCUAAUCAGAAAGCCACGGCUAACUACGUGCCACAGCCGCGGUAAUACGUAGGUGGCAAGCGUUAUCCGGAAUUAUUGGGCGUAAAGCGCGCGUAGGCGGUUUUUUAUGUCUGAUGU